GGUGAGAUGGCCGAGUUGGUUAUGGCGCCAGGUUAAGGUCUCCCCUUAACACACACCAGAAACAACAGUUUCUGAUGCUUCCUGGUCACGAAAGUGGCGUGGGUUCGAGUCCCACUCUCAUCA
The sequence is a transfer RNA, 123 nucleotides long. It matches the Rfam family "tRNA". From Rfam's summary of the family: Transfer RNA (tRNA) molecules are approximately 80 nucleotides in length. Their secondary structure includes four short double-helical elements and three loops (D, anti-codon, and T loops). Further hydrogen bonds mediate the characteristic L-shaped molecular structure. tRNAs have two regions of fundamental functional importance: the anti-codon, which is responsible for specific mRNA codon recognition, and the 3' end, to which the tRNAs corresponding amino acid is attached (by aminoacyl-tRNA synthetases). tRNAs cope with the degeneracy of the genetic code in two manners: having more than one tRNA (with a specific anti-codon) for a particular amino acid; and 'wobble' base-pairing, i.e. permitting non-standard base-pairing at the 3rd anti-codon position. The record is from Rfam.